This 496-nucleotide ribosomal RNA is filed under the name uncultured bacterium. RNAcentral's name for it is "partial 16S ribosomal RNA". It matches the Rfam family "Bacterial small subunit ribosomal RNA", at positions 29 to 507 of the family's 1533-position model. The record is from RNAcentral.
AUGAACGCUGGCGGCGUGCCUAAUACAUGCAAGUCGAGCGAACAGACGAGGAGCUUGCUCCUUUGACGUUAGCGGCGGACGGGUGAGUAACACGUAGGUAACCUACCUAUAAGACUGGGAUAACUUCGGGAAACCGGAGCUAAUACCGGAUAAUAUUUCGAACCGCAUGGUUCGAUAGUGAAAGAUGGCUUUGCUAUCACUUAUAGAUGGACCUGCGCCGUAUUAGCUAGUUGGUAAGGUAACGGCUUACCAAGGCAACGAUACGUAGCCGACCUGAGAGGGUGAUCGGCCACACUGGAACUGAGACACGGUCCAGACUCCUACGGGAGGCAGCAGUAGGGAAUCUUCCGCAAUGGGCGAAAGCCUGACGGAGCAACGCCGCGUGAGUGAUGAAGGUCUUCGGAUCGUAAAACUCUGUUAUUAGGGAAGAACAGACGUGUAAGUAACUGUGCACGUCUUGACGGUACCUAAUCAGAAAGCCACGGCUAACUACGUG